RNAcentral lists this ribosomal RNA (253 nucleotides) under uncultured bacterium. Its description in RNAcentral is "partial 16S ribosomal RNA". It matches the Rfam family "Bacterial small subunit ribosomal RNA", at positions 524 to 776 of the family's 1533-position model. The record is from RNAcentral.
UACAGAGGGGGCAAACGUUGCUCGGAAUCACUGGGCGUAAAGCGCGUGUAGGCGGACCGGAAAGUCGGGUGUGAAAUCCCUGGGCUCAACCCAGGAACUGCAUCCGAAACUACCAGCCUAGAGUGUCGGAGAGGGAAGUGGAAUUCUUGGUGUAGAGGUGAAAUUCGUAGAUAUCAAGAGGAACACCGGUGGCGAAGGCGGCUUCCUGGACGAUAACUGACGCUGAGACGCGAAAGCGUGGGGAGCAAACAGG